CUUCACUUUCUCUUCUCUCUGCCUCUUCAGUCCCAUCCCCGAUGGGCACUGCUUCCUUCUGCGGGCUGACUCUUCAUGGCUGUCACCUCACCACAGUCAGUCCUGAAGCUCCUCAGCCAAUUUUGUUUUAAUAUUUGACCUUUGCCCAUUGCCUGCCACUCCCAUUGCUCACAUUCUCUCCAUACACACACACACACACACACACACGCGCGCGCGCGCGCGCGCGCCUGCUGCCUGCUCCCCGCCCCUCCCUGCAGGGCACGUGCUAUACCAGCCUUUAAAUCCAGGUCCUCUCUGUGCACUGUGGUGCCAAGUCAGACAGGGAGGCUGUGCCCAAGGACAAGGGCUCUCAGCACCACUGAGAGGCUCACCUGGUCCCCAAUCCUUCCAUCUCUGGAAAAGCCGCACGUCACUCGUGGCCCGGGGCAUCCCUGGGGGCUCCAUCUACCAGGCAGGUGCAGGAUACAGAGAACCCAGGGGUGGAGAUACUGCUGGGCUCAUCUUUCUCAGAGGCUGGUUCUUUUUCUUUUUUUAAUCUCUGCUCCUCUCCAUAGAAGGUGAGGCUUCCAGCAUCUGGGGUGACUCUGAGGGUCACUUUGGCGUCUGCAUGGUAUACUGCUUGCUUAUUUCUCCUCGUCCAUAGUUCUCUGGCUAUAAAGCAGGGCAGGAAGGCCAGAGCGUUAGGAGUACACAGGAUGGCGUGACUUGCUCUCCCUGCCCCUAACCUGGGCCAUCAUCCCUCGGACUGCAGAGGGCUUCUGUACAACCAUGUUCCUUCUCUGAGUGAUGUCUGGAGGGCAGCAGCUUCAGCACCACCAGGGAGCUUGAUCCAUCUGCAGAAUUUCAAGCCCUACCCCAGACUUCCCGAAUCAGAAUCUCGUUUUAGUAGGAUCCCCAGGACCCCCAUCGCUCCUCCUCUGAGUGCCUGCAGGUUAGGGAGAGGAAGGGGCAGGCUUGAGAUCACGGUGACCAUGAUCCAUGAAGAACCCUGGCACCAUCAGAGGAAGCUCACGGGACACUUGCCAGUGACACGGACCUCUGCAGCCACCACUAACAGGGGAGGAAAGAAGGCAGCGUUGAGCGGGGGGGCCUGCCUGCCUGUGCCAAACCCACGUCUGAGAUCACAAGCAUUGGAGAAAAAGAACAAGUCUGUCUUGUCAACAUUGACCUUUGGCCACCUUGCCCCCUUGCUCACCACCCGCCUUGACCUUUCCUCUUAAUCUCUCCAUUUCCUUUCGUUUGAAAGGGAUGUAGGUGUGUUUUGAGCUCAUUCUCAUUCUGCUUCAAUUAAGUUCAACAGUAAUUUGCUUCCCACAGUUACUACCCUCCUAGAGGAGUUGGGCCUCUGAAACGUUCACACCUCAAAAUAUGGAAAAUCAUUCCUCAAGGUUUCUUUUCCUCAAUGAAUCUUCUCUUACUUUGAACUUUGGAAAUAAUCUCUUGCAUGGUUCAUGCCUUCCAUCUCCUCCCCAAUCACGGGGCAACAUUGCCUUGCUCAAGAUCAAAUACUACCCAUCUUCCCUGAGUUGGGUUUAUUUUUACUCUUGUUGUUUCUUGCAAUCUCAUUAAAUUCCUGUGACGUUAAGUAGGAUGGGUAUCCUAAUGCCUGCAUCACAGGUAAAGGAACCACGGUCAGGGAGCCUCUUUCAGGAAGCAGAACUGGGUUGAGAUGAGGACCUCUGGCUCCCUGUCCCCAGCCUUCGUGGGCGACAAGGGCUGGGUCUUGCUUUCAGGCAUGGUGGGAGCAGCGGCGCUGGCCCUCUGCUCAGCUUCGUCCUCAGUCUACCCAGGGAAAGCCAAGAUCAAGAGCCUCACUGACACUGCACCCCCUCUUGAGCUUGGUUUGCCAUCCUGCUGAGAGCUCGUGCCCCCAUGUGUCAGGGGAGUCCCCGCUCUUCCACGA
Long non-coding RNA from Bos taurus (domestic cattle), 1903 nucleotides. Lineage: Eukaryota; Metazoa; Chordata; Mammalia; Artiodactyla; Bovidae. The record is from Ensembl.